RNAcentral lists this unclassified non-coding RNA (504 nucleotides) under Hevea brasiliensis (rubber tree). Lineage: Eukaryota; Viridiplantae; Streptophyta; Magnoliopsida; Malpighiales; Euphorbiaceae. The record is from RNAcentral.
AGAUCCCAUAUGUUUUUCUAUGUAUGUUUUGUUCUCUUUCUCAAGAAUUUUGUGUUUUCAGACUUGAUUUGGUUUAAUCCAUGUUGUUCUUGCUGUUUUCGUUGUUCUUUUGGAUCUUGAUUAUGUUUUAUAGUUAUGGAGUUCUGUUCAGGAUUGCUCUUGCUCUAAAUCUAUUAAGAAUAUAUAUUUUUUUUUAUGAUCUGAAUUUUGUUGAUUUUUGAGGUUAAUUAAGUUUUCUUAGAGUUUAAUGGAGAACAAGAACUUUGUGAUUAGCUCAUGAGUUUUGAUCCAUAGUUUCUUGUGCAUAUAAGUUUUGUUUCAUGGUUAAAAUUCGUGGGAAGCAAUGUGUUGCUAUGUCUACGCGUUCUUAGAACAAGUUAUCCUUUGGUUCUAUCAAUUUAUAUCACCUUUGAGCUUUCUGGAGCUCUUUUGUCUGCCUUUUCAAAGUGCCUUGAGAUUGUUUGGCCUUUUCAAUUUGUUGCUAGACAUUCAUCAUACUUCCCG